RNAcentral lists this ribosomal RNA (497 nucleotides) under uncultured bacterium. RNAcentral's name for it is "bacterial SSU rRNA". It matches the Rfam family "Bacterial small subunit ribosomal RNA", at positions 31 to 518 of the family's 1533-position model. The record is from RNAcentral.
GAACGCUGGCGGCAGGCCUAACACAUGCAAGUCGAACGGUAACAGGAAGCAGCUUGCUGCUUGCUGACGAGUGGCGGACGGGUGAGUAAUGUCUGGGAAACUGCCCGAUGGAGGGGGAUAACUACUGGAAACGGUAGCUAAUACCGCAUAAUGUCGCAAGACCAAAGAGGGGGACCUUCGGGCCUCUUGCCAUCGGAUGUGCCCAGAUGGGAUUAGCUUGUUGGUGAGGUAACGGCUCACCAAGGCGACGAUCCCUAGCUGGUCUGAGAGGAUGACCAGCCACACUGGAACUGAGACACGGUCCAGACUCCUACGGGAGGCAGCAGUGGGGAAUAUUGCACAAUGGGCGCAAGCCUGAUGCAGCCAUGCCGCGUGUAUGAAGAAGGCCUUCGGGUUGUAAAGUACUUUCAGCGGGGAGGAAGGGGUUAAGGUUAAUAACCUUAGCCAUUGACGUUACCCGCAGAAGAAGCACCGGCUAACUCCGUGCCAGCCGCAGC